AUUUAGUAGCGAAGUAGCUGAUUUCACACUGUCAAGAAAAGUCACUAUCGAGGUUAAAGGUACCCGUACCGCAAACCGACACAGGUGGGUGAGGAGAGUAUCCUAAGGCCAGCGAGAGAACUGUUGUUAAGGAACUCGGCAAAAUGACCCCGUAACUUAGGGAUAAGGGGUGCCACCAUCAGGUGGCCGCAGAGAAUAGGCCCAAGCGACUGUUUACCAAAAACAUAGGUUUCUGCUAAGUCGCAAGACGAUGUAUAGGAGCUGACGCCUGCCCGGUGCUGGAAGGUUAAGGGGAUCUGUUAGAGUAAUCGAAGCAGUGAACUUAAGCCCCAGUAAACGGCGGCCGUAACUAUAACGGUCCUAAGGUAGCGAAAUUCCUUGUCGGGUAAGUUCCGACCCGCACGAAAGGCGUAACGAUUUGGGCACUGUCUCAACAACAGACUCGGUGAAAUUGUAAUUCCGGUGAAGAUGCCGGAUACCUGCGACAGGACGGAAAGACCCCAUGGAGCUUUACUGUAGCUUGACAUUGGGUCUUGGUACUACAUGUACAGGAUAGGUGGGAGGCUUUGAAACCAGGACGCCAGUUUUGGCGGAGCCAUCCUUGGGAUACCACCCUUGUAGUACUGGGACUCUAACCAUAGGCCAUGAAUCUGGUCUUGGGACACUGUCAGGUGGGCAGUUUGACUGGGGCGGUCGCCUCCCAAAAGG
This 708-nucleotide ribosomal RNA is filed under the name Clostridioides difficile. Its description in RNAcentral is "bacterial LSU rRNA". It matches the Rfam family "Bacterial large subunit ribosomal RNA", at positions 1577 to 2297 of the family's 2925-position model. Lineage: Bacteria; Bacillati; Bacillota; Clostridia; Peptostreptococcales; Peptostreptococcaceae. The record is from RNAcentral.